RNAcentral lists this ribosomal RNA (454 nucleotides) under uncultured organism. RNAcentral's name for it is "partial 16S ribosomal RNA". It matches the Rfam family "Bacterial small subunit ribosomal RNA", at positions 330 to 800 of the family's 1533-position model. The record is from RNAcentral.
CGUACACUCCUACGGGAGGCAGCAGUGGGGAAUAUUGGACAAUGGGCGCAAGCCUGAUCCAGCCAUGCCGCGUGAGUGAUGAAGGCCCUAGGGUUGUAAAGCUCUUUCACCGGUGAAGAUAAUGACGGUAACCGGAGAAGAAGCCCCGGCUAACUUCGUGCCAGCAGCCGCGGUAAUACGAAGGGGGCUAGCGUUGUUCGGAUUUACUGGGCGUAAAGCGCACGUAGGCGGACUAUUAAGUCAGGGGUGAAAUCCCGGGGCUCAACCCCGGAACUGCCUUUGAUACUGGUAGUCUUGAGUUCGAGAGAGGUGAGUGGAAUUCCGAGUGUAGAGGUGAAAUUCGUAGAUAUUCGGAGGAACACCAGUGGCGAAGGCGGCUCACUGGCUCGAUACUGACGCUGAGGUGCGAAAGCGUGGGGAGCAAACAGGAUUAGAUACCCUUGUAGUCCCAUGA